UGGUGCCAGCAGCCGCGGUAAUUCCAGCUCCAAUAGCGUAUAUUAAAGUUGUUGCAGUUAAAAAGCUCGUAGUUGGAUUUCUGUUAAUAAUUUAUAUAAAAUAUUUUGAUGAAUAUUUAUAUAAUAUUAACAUAAUUCAUAUUACUAUUUUUUUAGUAUAUGAAAUUUUACUUUGAGAAAAUUAGAGUGCUUAAAGCAGGCAUAUGCCUUGAAUACUCCAGCAUGGAAUAAUAUUAAAGAUUUUUAUCUUUCUUAUUGGUUCUAAGAUAAGAAUAAUGAUUAAUAGGGACAGUUGGGGGCAUUUGUAUUUAACAGUCAGAGGUGAAAUUCUUAGAUUUGUUAAAGACAGACUAAUGCGAAAGCAUUUGCCAAGGAUGUUUUCAUUAAUCAAGAACGAAAGUUAGGGGAUCGAAGACGAUCAGAUACCGUCGUAGUCUUAACCAUAAACUAUGCCAACUAGAGAUUGGAGGUUGUUCCUUACU
Molecule: ribosomal RNA, 482 nt
Filed under: Cryptosporidium parvum
Lineage: Eukaryota; Apicomplexa; Conoidasida; Eucoccidiorida; Cryptosporidiidae
Description: SSU rRNA
Rfam family: Eukaryotic small subunit ribosomal RNA
Source: RNAcentral